GGUUUUGAUCGGCGCCAUUUAAUGUUCACAGUGCAAAAAGAGAAAACAAGCGAAGUUUUUUACUUGUGGACACACAGCCAGGAGGACGGCAGUGAUCGGAUAUUAGUAGGCCAUUCCUAAACAUCCAAAUGCCAGACACAGAUGCUCACACCUACAUAGCUGUUAGAGGAUGUUAAACAUGAUGCAACCUCGAUGCGCAACACCACCCUGGGAAUCUAUGUCGUCGUACAUGAAGGAGCAGAUGAUACAGACCCAUAUGAGGAUGUUGGCAUCAUAAUUAAAUGCAUCCAAGUAUUUGAAAACCUGAACAAUGUAGCAAAUGCAUGUUCUGUGAUAAUUGGUCUAAUUUAUGCAUUAAACUUGUCUAAUCCACAAGAUCUGAGAUACACUUUUAAAGUAUUUAAAAAGUUAUUUAUGAAACUAGAUGCAAACAAGCAUUCAAACAAGGUCCAGGUCCUGAAAAAUAAACUCUUGU
Silurus meridionalis is the source of this 475-nucleotide long non-coding RNA. RefSeq lists it as uncharacterized. The record is from RefSeq and is a predicted model, not a curated record. The transcript has 3 exons. NCBI's taxonomy places the organism in Eukaryota, Metazoa, Chordata, Actinopteri, Siluriformes, Siluridae.